ACCUAGCUGGCUCAGUCAGUAGAGCAUGUGACUCUUAAUCUCUGGGCUGUGAGUUCCAGCCCCAUGCGGGGUA
RNAcentral lists this transfer RNA (73 nucleotides) under Ailuropoda melanoleuca (giant panda). It matches the Rfam family "tRNA". Rfam says of the family: Transfer RNA (tRNA) molecules are approximately 80 nucleotides in length. Lineage: Eukaryota; Metazoa; Chordata; Mammalia; Carnivora; Ursidae. The record is from Rfam by way of RNAcentral.